RNAcentral lists this ribosomal RNA (253 nucleotides) under uncultured bacterium. RNAcentral describes it as "partial 16S ribosomal RNA". It matches the Rfam family "Bacterial small subunit ribosomal RNA", at positions 524 to 776 of the family's 1533-position model. The record is from RNAcentral.
GACGUAGGGGGCAAGCGUUGUUCGGAAUUACUGGGCGUAAAGCGCACGUAGGCGGCUCUUUAAGUCGGAGGUGAAAUCCUGGAGCUCAACUCCAGAACUGCCUUCGAUACUGAAGAGCUCGAGUCCGGGAGAGGUGAGUGGAACUGCGAGUGUAGAGGUGAAAUUCGUAGAUAUUCGCAAGAACACCAGUGGCGAAGGCGGCUCACUGGCCCGGUACUGACGCUGAGGUGCGAAAGCGUGGGGAGCAAACAGG